This 22-nucleotide microRNA is filed under the name Cordylochernes scorpioides. Lineage: Eukaryota; Metazoa; Arthropoda; Arachnida; Pseudoscorpiones; Chernetidae. The record is from RNAcentral.
CUGUGUACCGGCAGCUUCACUC